Molecule: ribosomal RNA, 1109 nt
Filed under: Creosphaeria sassafras
Lineage: Eukaryota; Fungi; Ascomycota; Sordariomycetes; Xylariales; Xylariaceae
Description: eukaryotic LSU rRNA
Rfam family: Eukaryotic large subunit ribosomal RNA
Source: RNAcentral
GUACCCGCUGAACUUAAGCAUAUCAAUAAGCGGAGGAAAAGAAACCAACAGGGAUUGCCCUAGUAACGGCGAGUGAAGCGGCAACAGCUCAAAUUUGAAAUCUGGCCUUAGGGUCCGAGUUGUAAUUUGUAGAGGAUGCUUUUGGUGCGGUACCUUCCGAGUUCCCUGGAACGGGACGCCAUAGAGGGUGAGAGCCCCGUACGGUUGGAUACCUAGCCUCUGUAAAGCUCCUUCGACGAGUCGAGUAGUUUGGGAAUGCUGCUCUAAAUGGGAGGUAAAUUUCUUCUAAAGCUAAAUACCGGCCAGAGACCGAUAGCGCACAAGUAGAGUGAUCGAAAGAUGAAAAGCACUUUGAAAAGAGGGUUAAAUAGCACGUGAAAUUGUUGAAAGGGAAGCGCUUAUGACCAGACUUUUGUCCGGCGGAUCAUCCGGUGUUCUCACCGGUGCACUUCGCCGGGCUGAGGCCAGCAUCGAUUUCUGUAGGGGGAUAAAGACUUCAGGAAAGUAGCUCCCUUCGGGGAGUGUUAUAGCCCGUCGUGUAAUACCCCUAUAGGGAUCGAGGUUCGCGCAUCUGCAAGGAUGCUGGCAUAAUGGUCAUCAGCGACCCGUCUUGAAACACGGACCAAGGAGUCGAACAUUUAUGCGAGUGUUUGGGUGUUAAACCCUCACGCGUAAUGAAAGUGAACGGAGGUGAGAGCCCUUACGGGUGCAUCAUCGACCGAUCCUGAUGUCUUCGGAUGGAUUUGAGUAAGAGCAUAACUGUUCGGACCCGAAAGAUGGUGAACUAUGCGUGGAUAGGGUGAAGCCAGAGGAAACUCUGGUGGAGGCUCGCAGCGGUUCUGACGUGCAAAUCGAUCGUCAAAUCUGCGCAUGGGGGCGAAAGACUAAUCGAACCAUCUAGUAGCUGGUUACCGCCGAAGUUUCCCUCAGGAUAGCAGUGUUGUUUUCAGUUUUAUGAGGUAAAGCGAAUGAUUAGGGACUCGGGGGCGCCAUAUAGCCUUCAUCCAUUCUCAAACUUUAAAUAUGUAAGAAGCCCUUGUUACUUAAUUGAACGUGGGCAUUCGAAUGUAUCAACACUAGUGGGCCAUUUUUGGUAAGCAGAACUGGCG